GGUUCCAAUGCUUGGUCCCAGGGUUACCACGUGAUUGAAAUCAGACCAAGGUACUGGUGCUGAAAUCACCGUAUGCAGGUCUGGGGUGGCUGCUGGUGCACGUGCCACUCCUGCCUCUGUCAAGGGGAACUGUGUGAGAUUGAAAGCAAACAGAAGUCACUUAGAAAGAGUCAGAACUUCUGAAUCUAGCUGUGCCUGGAGCUAAUUGAAGCCCUUCUUUGACUUCACAGAUGAUACUUGGAGGAGACGCAUGGAAGAGAGACAUGUAGAGAUACUUGGAGGAGAGACUUGGAAAAGGGACCCAUGGGUGGCUGGAUCCCUUUUAGAAUAUGCACCCUUCACAGUUUGGAAUCCCUGGGUGCCAUUUAGUGGUGCAUUACCACAUAUGUGAU
Molecule: long non-coding RNA, 392 nt
Organism: Talpa occidentalis (Iberian mole)
Lineage: Eukaryota; Metazoa; Chordata; Mammalia; Eulipotyphla; Talpidae
Exons: 3
Source: RefSeq, a predicted model, not a curated record